AGCUAAUGAACUUGAAAAGUAUAUACUUUGAAAGUAUAAAAUAGUAGUAAAAUCUACUAUUAGCUU
RNAcentral lists this transfer RNA (66 nucleotides) under Dinoderus minutus. Its description in RNAcentral is "tRNA-Ser". The record is from RNAcentral. Lineage: Eukaryota; Metazoa; Arthropoda; Insecta; Coleoptera; Bostrichidae.